Molecule: long non-coding RNA, 819 nt
Organism: Octopus sinensis (East Asian common octopus)
Lineage: Eukaryota; Metazoa; Mollusca; Cephalopoda; Octopoda; Octopodidae
Exons: 2
Source: RefSeq, a predicted model, not a curated record
AUGUCUUAUAUUCAUGGAAAUAUCUGAAACAUAAGAACACACUGUUAAAUGUAGCAGAAAUGCCCAAGUUUUGCUUGAAAUGUAAAAAAUAAUGGAAUUUUGAAAUUUUCAAGGACUGUUUAGCAUUUUUACUUCUUCGGAAGGUACAACAAAAAUUUGCGUAACUCGCAUAUGGUUUUACAGUGAAGACGAACGAAAUAUUGAUCUGGUUACAAAUAUUUUCGGACACACGCACACACACAAAAAAAAUGUAACAUCUUAGUUUAAACGCAUUUCUCAAAAGGAAAUAUACAAAGAAUGUGGAUUCUAUAAAAGACAGCUACCGGGUUCUUUCUUAGUACGUUUCGUUCUUUCGCGUCGGUUUUUUUAUUAACAUACUUCGUACAUUGAAAUGAUGGCUAGACAAAGACUUGGAGACGUGAAACAGAAAUCAGGAAUUUAUGGAGAAAUGCAAGUCCUUUAUCCAGUUCUGGAAUUUACAGAGUGUUUUAACCAUGGAUUUGCCAUCAUUUACCAAGAUUAAAGAAAUGGAUAUAAUCCUGUUUCUAUAAAUCUCUGUGAGAGAGACUACUGUGAACUGCUUUCUCUGGCUGAGAUUAUUAACAAAAUGUUGUUACUUCAAUGCCUGGGAUAUAUAAACUUGGAUUACAAAGAGGUUUGCAGCAUUUUCAGAUGCUGACUUUGUUCACAAUUGAUGGAGAUAUAAUAAAGCAAAUAUUUGUUAGGAAUAAAGUUUAUGAACAUAAGGAAGAAAAAUAUCAGAAAAAUUAUGGAAAACAAAUUGUGUGUUGACAAUAUUAAGUGUGAAUCACAGUUUGA